This 413-nucleotide long non-coding RNA is filed under the name Cyanoderma ruficeps (rufous-capped babbler). RNAcentral's name for it is "lncRNA (ENSCRFG00000003562.1)". The record is from RNAcentral. Lineage: Eukaryota; Metazoa; Chordata; Aves; Passeriformes; Timaliidae.
AUUCAGAAAGACACUGCAAAGCAGAGCAAAGCCUCUUUUCUGCCUUCCACAGCUCAGAGAAAAAUACCUAGGGUAUCUCAGCCUCCUGAAUAUACCCCUGCAGUCACAGUGUUCAGCUGCUUGGUGUAGGAAUCCCUGCUCUGAGAACUCCCCCAGGCCAUCAUCUAACAAGAGGCACCAGCGCUGGAUGGGAUGCCAUGUGCCAUUUCCUAGCAGCAGUGCCAGUCCCAGCCCCUCCACCUGCCUACCUGCAGUGCCAAGGGCACCGAAACAACUGCUUCUCAACCAGCUGGCAUCAGACUGUCAAGAAACAAAGACUGGUACUAUUUUAACAUACAUUUCUUUACUGCACUGCCUGUACUUUAAUCACCAAUCUGCGACGUUUAACCGGGGCCCACUGGACAGAUGCCGGC